Molecule: ribosomal RNA, 200 nt
Filed under: uncultured organism
Description: partial small subunit ribosomal RNA
Rfam family: Bacterial small subunit ribosomal RNA
Source: RNAcentral
GUUACAUAACUAAUGUAAUUUAGGAUGACGUCAAGUCCGUAUGUCCUUUAUGUUCUGGGCUACACACGUGCUACAAUGGAUAGUACAAUACUUUAAAACUAUCUUUAGUACAGAUUGUGAAUUGGAACUCAUUCACAUGAAGAUGGAAUCGCUAGUAAUCGCAGGUUAGCACUACUGCGGUGAAUAUGUUCUCGAGCCCU